Molecule: transfer RNA, 74 nt
Filed under: Rhodospirillaceae bacterium
Lineage: Bacteria; Pseudomonadati; Pseudomonadota; Alphaproteobacteria; Rhodospirillales; Rhodospirillaceae
Description: tRNA-Ile
Rfam family: tRNA
About the family: Transfer RNA (tRNA) molecules are approximately 80 nucleotides in length. Their secondary structure includes four short double-helical elements and three loops (D, anti-codon, and T loops).
Source: RNAcentral
GGGCCUAUAGCUCAGAUGGUUAGAGUGUACGCCUGAUAAGCGUAAGGUCAGUAGUUCAAGUCUACUUAGGCCCA